CCUACGGGAGGCAGCAGUGGGGAAUAUUGCACAAUGGGGGAAACCCUGAUGCAGCGACGCCGCGUGAGUGAAGAAGGAAUUCGUUAUGUAAAGCUCUAUUAGCAGGGAAGAAAAUGACGGUACCUGAGUAAGAAGCGCCGGCUAACUACGUGCCAGCAGCCGCGGUCAUACGGAGGGGGCAAGCGGUAUCCGGAUUUACUGGGUGUAAAGGGGGCGUAGACGGCAGUGAAAGUCUGGAGUGAAAGGGGUGGGCUCAACCCCCGGACUGCUGUUGAAACUGUAGGGCGGGAGUGCAGGAGAGGUAAGUGGAAUUCCUAGUGUAGCGGUGAAAUGCGUAGAUAUUAGGAGGAACACCAGUGGCGAAGGCGGCUUACUGGACUGUAACUGACGUUGAGGCUCGAAAGCGUGGGGAGCAAACAGGAUUAGAUACCCCAGUAGUC
This 440-nucleotide ribosomal RNA is filed under the name uncultured bacterium. RNAcentral's name for it is "partial 16S ribosomal RNA". It matches the Rfam family "Bacterial small subunit ribosomal RNA", at positions 338 to 795 of the family's 1533-position model. The record is from RNAcentral.